This is a long non-coding RNA of Argentina anserina (silverweed cinquefoil), 1018 nucleotides long. RefSeq lists it as uncharacterized. The transcript has 2 exons. The record is from RefSeq and is a predicted model, not a curated record. Lineage: Eukaryota; Viridiplantae; Streptophyta; Magnoliopsida; Rosales; Rosaceae.
GAAAAGAAAAGAGAAGCAGAUCGAGCUCUGUGCGACCCAGAGCACUGCGCGCGACGCCACGUCCCUCCGCCUCUGUCAGGCCAUCUCCGGAGCAUCGUGACCGCCUCCUCGUCGCCGUCCUCCCCGUGGCCGUGUUCCUUCCUAUCCCCAACGGAGGAGAGAGAAUCGAAGAAGGAAAGGCCGACAGCUCCUGCAUGACUCCGACGACUUCGCAGCUUUGGUCCGGCGUCCUCUGGCCACCGUUUGGGUCGAUUUUGGUAUGGAAAUCCAUCUCCUCUUCACGUUCUACACGUCUAUAUAAUUGGUUUUUGGAUUGGAUGAAGUUUUGAUGAAUUUGUUUUCUGGGUUCAUGGUGUUCUUUGACGUCGGGACUGACUUGGCCUUCUUGGCUCGAUUUCUUCCUUCCUUGUGUCCUGUUGUUGAGCUUGAAGCAGCGUAGUAGCUGAAUUACAAGGUUACUUAAUUAAAGUGAAGGUAGCUGAGAGUUUCUUGCCCAUCAAUUCGUUGGAAAGUUCUCCUGCUAAUUGGGAUUUUCCAUAGAGACUCUAGUUACCCGGUGAGCGGAAAAGUGGAAAGCUUGUGACUCGCAGAGUGCACAAGGUAGGGAUUCAGUAUUUAUCUUGAUCAGAGCUUUCCACAUUUUAUAAAUGGUGAAUGUUUUGGUUUGGUUGUUUUAAUACUUUAUGUAUUGACCGAACUGUGAGUGGUUGUGAUGGUUUAAGAGCGAGGGGUGGCACUGACUUCCUUAGGUUCGAUCCUUUAACCUCUGGAGGAUUUUAGUUACACUAGUCGUGCGGGUUCCGAUCGUAAGGACAGACUCGAAACGUUGUGUAGCUGGUGUGGUAGUGGACGCUUUUGCUACGCUUACCUGGUACAGCUUAUCUGAGGUAAGAUCGUGUAGUGGGUCUAUAGGACCGACCAUCAGGAAAUGUUGGAUUUUGGGCCCGUAUGUAUUGAGAACCUUGAACUGGUUCUCGAGUCAAAAGAUGUUUAUAAAAGUUUGUCAUUCAUUUACUCA